UUGGAGGGCAAGUCUGGUGCCAGCAGCCGCGGUAAUUCCAGCUCCAAUAGCGUAUAUUAAAGUUGCUGCAGUUAAAAAGCUCGUAGUUGAAUUUCGGGACCAUCAUGUCGGUCGUGCCUCGGUACGUACUGGUAUUGUUGGUUUCUCCCUUCUGACGAACCAUGAUGUCAUUUAUUUGGUGUUGUGGGAAAUCAGGACUGUUACUUUGAAAAAAUUAGAGUGUUUAAAGCAGGCUCACGCUUGAAUACAUUAGCAUGGAAUAAUGAAAUAGGACGUUUGAUUCUAUUUUGUUGGUUUCUAGGAUCGACGUAAUGAUUAAUAGGGAUAGUUGGGGGCAUUAGUAUUCAAUUGUCAGAGGUGAAAUUCUUGGAUUUAUUGAAGACUAACUACUGCGAAAGCAUUUGCCAAGGGUGUUUUCAUUAAUCAAGAACGAAAGUUAGGGGAUCGAAGACGAUCAGAUACCGUCGUAGUCUUAACCAUAAACUAUGCCGACUAGGGAUCGGAUGAUGUUAAUUUUUAAAUGACUCAUUCGGCGCCUUACGGGAAACCAAGUGUUUGGGU
RNAcentral lists this ribosomal RNA (561 nucleotides) under uncultured Glomus. Its description in RNAcentral is "SSU rRNA". It matches the Rfam family "Eukaryotic small subunit ribosomal RNA", at positions 548 to 1112 of the family's 1831-position model. The record is from RNAcentral. Lineage: Eukaryota; Fungi; Glomeromycota; Glomeromycetes; Glomerales; Glomeraceae.